GGCUGGAUAUAAUGAAAAAAGACUCUGGACCAGAUCAUUUGUAACGUGUUCAAUUAAAUCACGAAGACAAAUUUCUUAUCGCGAAGAAGUUUUAUCUCACAUUUUGACACGUACUCUAAUAUACCCUGCCAUUGGAAUUAGGAUAUAACAUUUACAUAAUGGGUAGAACUUCAAGAAAACGACAUCAAAAGAAGAAGCUAAAUAAAGAAAUAGCAGAAAAUACAGAAGACAGUUUGAUGCAUCUUAGAUCUUGGUUAUUAACAAAGAACUGUUCAUCAGUUUAUGAUCUUAUUCCAUUUAACUUUCUUAUUACAGGACGAGGAUUAAAAACAUUAAAAGACAUUAAAAUUAAUGAUAUAUUGAUCAAACUACCUUAUGAAAUCUUAAUAACAACAUGUACAUUAUCUCAAAGCAAUUGUUGCAGUGGAAAUGUAAUUGAUCGUACACAGAAAAAGAAAUCUAUUAUAAGUUCUGUUAAAUUUCCAUUGGUAAUACCUGGAUUUACUGGGGGAAAAUCAGGACAACAAAAAAGAGAUUGUUUUCAUCCUGGUGUAUCUAGUUUAAGCCAUGAAUCUAUUAAUAUUCAAGAAAGGGAGACAGUUAAAUCUGCAAAUAUGAUUAGAGCAAUGCUUAGAUAUAUUUGGCCAAAAGAUGAUCCAGAUAUUCGAAGAAGAGUUAAAAUAGCCAUGGGUUUACUUGUUGGUGCAAAAGCUCUAAAUGUUGGCGUUCCUUUCAUUUUUAAAUGUGCAAUAGAUACUCUUAAUACCCAACACAUGGCAACUACUGGUAAUGCCAUUUUAAGUCUAGAAACUGGAUCAGAUACGGUUGCAACAGUAGCAACAUCAUUACUUAUUGGAUAUGGAGUAGCACGUGCUGGUGCAGCUGGAUUUAGUGAAUUGAGAAAUGCAGUAUUUGCAAAAGUUGCUCAUCAUUCUAUUCGAAAAAUAGCUAAAAAUGUAUUUUUGCAUUUACAUAAUUUAGACAUGGCUUUUCAUUUAGGUAGACAAACUGGAGCAUUAUCUAAAACAAUAGAUAGAGGGAGUCGUGGUAUAAAUUUUGUAUUAAAUGCUAUGGUAUUUAAUAUUAUUCCUACUGUUUUUGAAUUAUCAUUAGUUAGUACAGUCUUAUAUUUAAAAUGUGGAGCAGAAUAUGCAAGUAUUGCUCUUAGUUGUGUUGGAAUUUAUGCAUUAUUCACAUUGGCUAUUACUCAAUGGCGAACGAAAUUUAGAAUUUUUAUGAAUCAAGCAGAAAAUGAAGCAAGUAAUAAAGCAAUAGAUUCACUUAUCAAUUAUGAAACAGUAAAGUAUUUUAAUAACGAAAAAUUUGAAGCUGAAAGAUAUGACGAAUCGUUAAAGAAAUAUGAAAUUGCAUCACUUAAAACAAGUACAAGUCUAGCAAUGCUAAAUUUUGGACAAAACGCUAUAUUUAGCGCUGCACUUAGUUUAAUAAUGGUACUAGCAUCCAAUAAUAUUAUAGAGGGUACCAUGACAGUAGGAGACUUAGUAAUGGUUAAUGGUCUUUUAUUCCAACUAUCAGUUCCCUUAGGAUUUUUGGGUUCAGUAUAUCGUGAAGUUAGACAAGCUCUCAUCGAUAUGCAAACUAUGUUUACUUUGAUGGCAAUGAAUACUGCUAUUAAGUCGAAAGAGAAUGCAACACACUUUCAUAUAACUUCAAAGAAUUCCGAUAUUGAAUUUAAGAACAUUAGCUUUCACUAUGUUGAAGGCAAGCCUAUUUUUAAAGAUAUUAAUUUUACUAUUCCAAGUGGUAAAAAGAUAGCUAUUAUUGGAGGUUCUGGUUGUGGUAAAACAACAUUAGUAAGAUUGUUAUACCGAUUUUUUGAACCACAAUCUGGAGCUGUUUUUAUAAAUGGACAUAAUAUUCGAGAUAUUGAUUUAGAUAUCUUAAGAAAAUCAAUAGCAAUUGUUCCUCAGGACACUGUUCUCUUUCAUGAAAGUAUCUUUUACAACCUUCAUUAUGGUAAUUUAUCUAAAAGUAAGGAGGAUGUUUUUGAAGCUGCCAAAAUGGCAAAUUUACAUGAUUCCAUUCUUAAAUGGCCAAAAGGAUAUGAUACACCUGUUGGAGAACGUGGUUUAAAGUUAAGUGGUGGUGAAAAGCAACGAGUAGCAAUUGCUAGAGCAAUUUUAAAAAAUAGCCCAAUAUUAAUUUUUGAUGAAGCCACAUCAUCUCUAGAUUCUAUUACAGAACAUAAUAUUCUUGAAGCAUUACGUAGAGCAACCGUCGGCCGGACUUCCAUUGUUAUAGCCCAUCGAUUAUCUACUGUUAUGGAUUCAGAUGAAAUUUUUGUAUUAGAUAAUGGUAGUUUGAUUGAAAGAGGAACACAUGACUCUUUAUUAGCUGUGCCAAAUUCUUUAUAUUGCAAAUUGUGGGAAACACAACACAUAGGAAUGCUCAAAUCUAGUCAAGAAAAAGAUAAUAACUGUAGAACUCCAGGAGUUUGAAACAGAAAUUGUAUAAUGCACAGAAGACAAAAUUCUAACUUAGCAAGAUCAUCAGUGGAAACAAAAAUUAAUUCAUCUCACAAAAAUAUAGCAUAUCUCUCCUCUAAGAAAAAAAUCCUACAUCCUUUACUUGGAAUUAGCAACUGAAAACAAAUUAUUACGAGCAUUGCAGAAAAGACAAGAUUCUGCAUUAAAACGUUAUGAAGGAACAAAUGCUGAACUUCCGCGGAUUAUUAAUUCACAUCAUGAGGAAUUGAGAGUACUUCAGAUUAAAUAUAAAAAAUUAAAAACUUUACAAAAAGAAACAUGUAAUUUAUUAAAGGAAAAAGAAAAUGAGCUUCAACAGUUACAGUUAUAUAUUAUCUCUUAGUCGCAAAAUAAGCAUCUAUUACAACUUAGUAAGGAUCGUAAUUUGGGAGAGAGAGAAAAGUUACAAAUAGAAGUUUCUGAUUUAAAUCAUAGAAUACAACAACAACAAGAUACCAUAAA
This is an RNA transcript of Bombus terrestris (buff-tailed bumblebee), 2948 nucleotides long. It is a transcript of the gene named iron-sulfur clusters transporter ABCB7, mitochondrial, with no coding region annotated. NCBI's taxonomy places the organism in Eukaryota, Metazoa, Arthropoda, Insecta, Hymenoptera, Apidae. The record is from RefSeq and is a predicted model, not a curated record. The transcript is spliced from 15 exons.